RNAcentral lists this long non-coding RNA (540 nucleotides) under Cicer arietinum (chickpea). RNAcentral describes it as "long non-coding RNA (CARI_LNC002012)". Lineage: Eukaryota; Viridiplantae; Streptophyta; Magnoliopsida; Fabales; Fabaceae. The record is from RNAcentral.
UCGAUUUUGACAAAUAAUAAUAAUAAUAAUAAUAAUAAUAAUAGUAAUAAUAAUAAUAAUAACAAUAAUAAUAAUAAUAAUCCGCCUCAAUCUGUGUAAACCCUUGGAUAUGUAUGUAUAUGUGAAAAAAGAUUAAUUCAAAGAUGGUUUGGAUCCAAAAUUUGAUGGACAAUGGGUAGUCUUUUCACUUUCCGAAAUCUAGUAAGGAAAAGUUGCACGUAUAGACAUUCCUUUCCACCAGCAACCCAAUUUUCUGUUUGCAUGUCUUAAAAUCAAAGCUAAUAACUCGUUCAUUUUAUUUUUCACCAACCUACUUACCAAACAAUACCGUUUACCACGUGUCAUCCAUAGUGUGAAUUGUGGAUAGUGAUGUCAACGAAGUGGAGUGAGUGAGAGAGGAGGAGUACUCUUCUAGUUUCUUGUUUCUGCUAUCUUAUCCACACUGAGGAAUCCAUUCAACAUAAAAAAAUAAUUAAAAUUAUAUCAUAUUAAAAAAUAAAAAAACUUGAAAUUCAAGCAUAAAAAAUGUAAUAAUAGAAU